Molecule: ribosomal RNA, 433 nt
Filed under: uncultured bacterium
Lineage: Bacteria
Description: partial 16S ribosomal RNA
Rfam family: Bacterial small subunit ribosomal RNA
Source: RNAcentral
AACGAACGCUGGCGGCAUGCCUAACACAUGCAAGUCGAACGAGACCUUCGGGUCUAGUGGCGCACGGGUGCGUAACGCGUGGGAACCGGCCCUUAGGUUCGGAAUAACUCCCCGAAAGGGGUGCUAAUACCGGAUAAUGUCUUCGGACCAAACAUUUAUCGCGCUAGUAUGGGCCCGCGUUGGUUUAGCUAGUUGGUAGCGUAAAAGCCUACCAAGGCGACGAUCCAUAGCUGGUCUGAGAGGAUGAUCAGCGACACUGGGACUGAGACACGGCCCGGACUACUACGGGAGGCAGCAGUGGGGAAUAUUGGACAAUGGGCGAGAGGCUGAUCCCGCAAUGCCGCGUGAGUGAUGAAGGCCUUAGGGUUGUAAAGCUCUUUUACCCGGGAUGAUAAUGACAGUACCGGAAGAAUAAGCUCCGGCUAACUCCGUG